RNAcentral lists this ribosomal RNA (496 nucleotides) under uncultured bacterium. RNAcentral describes it as "bacterial SSU rRNA". It matches the Rfam family "Bacterial small subunit ribosomal RNA", at positions 30 to 518 of the family's 1533-position model. The record is from RNAcentral.
UGAACGCUAGCUACAGGCUUAACACAUGCAAGUCGUGGGCAGCAUGGAGGUGCUGCAACUCUGAUGGCGACCGGCGCACGGGUGAGUAACGCGUAUCCAACCUGGCCCUUAGUAGGGGAUAGCCCGGCGAAAGUCGGAUUAAUACCCUAUGUUCUUCUUUGACGGCAUCUGACGAGAAGCAAAGAUUCAUCGCUAAGGGAUGGGGAUGCGUCUGAUUAGGUAGUAGGCGGGGUAACGGCCCACCUAGCCGACGAUCAGUAGGGGUUCUGAGAGGAAGGUCCCCCACAUUGGUACUGAGACACGGACCAAACUCCUACGGGAGGCAGCAGUGAGGAAUAUUGGUCAAUGGGCGAGAGCCUGAACCAGCCAAGUAGCGUGCAGGAAUGACUGCCCUAUGGGUUGUAAACUGCUUUUAUGCGGGAAUAAAGUGCACUACGUGUAGUGUUUUGUAUGUACCGCAUGAAUAAGGACCGGCUAAUUCCGUGCCAGCCGCUGC